This 392-nucleotide ribosomal RNA is filed under the name uncultured bacterium. RNAcentral's name for it is "partial 16S ribosomal RNA". It matches the Rfam family "Bacterial small subunit ribosomal RNA", at positions 523 to 918 of the family's 1533-position model. The record is from RNAcentral.
AUACGGAGGAUCCGAGCGUUAUCCGGAUUUAUUGGGUUUAAAGGGUGCGCAGGCGGCCAUUUAAGUCAGCGGUUAAAUCGUGGGGCUCAACCCCAUUCUGCCGUUGAUACUGGGUGGCUUGAUUGCGGUCGAGGUUGGCGGAAUUCGUUGUGUAGCGGUGAAAUGCAUAGAUAUGACGAAGAAAACCGAUUGCGUAGGCAGCUGACCAGACCGCAAAUGACGCUCAUGCACGAAAGUGCGGGGAUCGAACAGGAUUAGAUACCCUGGUAGUCCGCACAGUAAACGAUGAAUACUUGUUUUCGGCGAUAUAAUGUCGGAGGCAAAGCGAAAGCGAUAAGUAUUCCACCUGGGGAGUACGCCGGCAACGGUGAAACUCAAAGGAAUUGACGGGG